This 460-nucleotide ribosomal RNA is filed under the name uncultured bacterium. RNAcentral's name for it is "partial 16S ribosomal RNA". It matches the Rfam family "Bacterial small subunit ribosomal RNA", at positions 338 to 795 of the family's 1533-position model. The record is from RNAcentral.
CCUACGGGUGGCAGCAGUGAGGAAUAUUGGUCAAUGGGCGGAAGCCUGAACCAGCCAAGUAGCGUGCAGGAUGACGGCCCUACGGGUUGUAAACUGCUUUUAUACGGGAAUAACGCGCCUUACGUGUAGGGCUUUGCAUGUACCGUAUGAAUAAGGACCGGCUAAUUCCGUGCCAGCAGCCGCGGUAAUACGGAAGGUCCGGGCGUUAUCCGGAUUUAUUGGGUUUAAAUGGAGCGUAGGCCGCAUGUCAAGCGUGCUGUGAAAUGUCCGGGCUCAACCCGGGCCUUGCAGCGCGAACUGUCGUGCUUGAGUCCGCGGAAAGCAGGCGGAAUUCGUCGUGUAGCGGUGGAAUGCUUAGAUAUGACGAAGAACCCCGAUUGCGAAGGCAGCUUGCUGCAGCGGAACUGACGCUGAUGCUCGAAAGCGCGGGUAUCGAACAGGAUUAGAUACCCUAGUAGUC